UACGUAGGGGGCGAGCGUUGUCCGGAAUCAUUGGGCGUAAAGCGCGUGUAGGCGGCUCAGUCAGUCUGGUGUGAAAACUUGGGGCUCAACCCCAAGCCUGCACUGGAUACUGCUGAGCUUGAGUCCGGGAGGGGAGAGCGGAAUUCCUAGUGUAGCGGUGAAAUGCGCAGAUAUUAGGAAGAACACCGGUGGCGAAGGCGGCUCUCUGGAACGGUACUGACGCUGAGACGCGAAAGCGUGGGGAGCGAACAGGAUUAGAAACCCCCGUAGUCC
RNAcentral lists this ribosomal RNA (273 nucleotides) under uncultured bacterium. RNAcentral's name for it is "partial 16S ribosomal RNA". It matches the Rfam family "Bacterial small subunit ribosomal RNA", at positions 524 to 796 of the family's 1533-position model. The record is from RNAcentral.